Non-coding RNA from Sesamum indicum (sesame), 883 nucleotides. The record is from RefSeq and is a predicted model, not a curated record. NCBI's taxonomy places the organism in Eukaryota, Viridiplantae, Streptophyta, Magnoliopsida, Lamiales, Pedaliaceae.
UGGAGGCGGAGAUUUGGAAGCGAAAAUUGACAUGUUGCUGAAUGUGGAGAAGUAGAUGAGGCAAGUAGGUGAUGUUGCAGGUACGACGAAGGCCGUCACACCUCUUGAAAUUCUUCUUCUCACACCUCAAACAAUACCCCUCAGUUUCUCCCUCCAAGAAAGCCAAAGCCGGCGAAGGAGAGACGCCGCAGUUCAGUCCUCCCACCGCCAAAAUACCCUCACCCAACCCCACCAUCAAACCAUUUCCCUUCUCCUCUGUUCACUUCUUCGAGGAAAAAGUUUAAAGAAAGCAGGUGAAGUUCAUGGUGGUAUGGCCGACUCAAGGGUUCGAAUGUGAUGGUACGGCAGCACCCGCGGGAGAAGCAGCUGAGGAUGUGGGUACAAAUCCAAGAAAGGAAAACCCCGCUGGAAAAAACCCUUAAACCACCGUUUUCUCCCCAUCAUCAAACCCCACCCACACUCACAUGGUGAAACCCUCUCACCUUCAUUUCUUUUUUCUUGUGUUCAUUUCUCACCCAAAAAACAGAGUAAAGAAAACCAAGAAAAGCAGGGGGGAGAGACAGAGCGAGAAGGAGGCCUCAAAUUAUGGUUUGGGAUUACACUGGUUUUGGAUAUACAAGGUACAAUGCCAGAGACAUUAACAAAGAAAUACUAGGGUGUCAUUGCUAAGAGGAUAUAAAUCAGACAGGAGACUUGCAAACUCGACAAUGAUGGCAAUUCUGGAUGGCUUUCAGAAGGCAUAUUCCGUUGAUUUCAGACCACUCAAUGUACUACGCGCUGCUGCAUUCCAAGGGGCUCAUUAUAUUUCACCAUUGAAAAGGCAAAUAAUCUCGUAUGCAUCUGGUAACCAAGCUUGUACACUCGUUUGAGGAAGGUUCGGAGG